AUGUCUCGGCUAUCCAGCAUAAGUUUAAUUCCGAACUUCACAGUUGCCAAAGGUUCUAAGUGCCAUAGUUGUGUGCAAUCUAAGCAACCUCGAAAGCCUCAUAAGGCUGCCGAGGAGAGAAACUUGGCACCUCUAGAACUCAUACAUUCUGAUCUUUGUGAGAUGAAUGGUGUGUUGACAAAAGGUGGAAAGAGAUAUUUCAUGACUUUGAUUGAUGAUGCGACUAGAUUUUGCUAUGUUUAUUUGUUGCAAACUAAAGAUGAAGCAUUAGACUACUUUAAAAUCUAUAAAGCUGAAGUUGAAAAUCAACUAGAGAGAAAGAUCAAGCGUCUUAGAGUUCCCAACAAUAAUAAAGAGAAAACCCCUUAUGAGGAGUGGGUUGGGAGAAAACCAUCACUUUCUUAUUUGCGCACUUGGGGAUGUUUGGCAAAGGUCAAUAUUCCUAUUCCUAAGAAACGCAAACUUGGACCAAAGACAGUGGAUUGUGUCUUUCUAGGGUAUGCUCAACGGAGCAUUGCUUAUAGGUUUUUAGUGGUAAAAUCUGAAGUACCUGAUAUGCAUGUUGAUACUAUAAUGGAAUCUCGUGAUGCAACAUUUUUUGAGAACAUAUUUCCUAUGAAAGAUAUGCAUAGCAUUGCUAGAUUUUCUUCUGAGAUAAUUCCUGAAUCUAGUACAACUGAUGAAUAUUUCGAGCAAUCACAUGAGGAAGUCCUUGAGAAGGAUAACAAUGAAGUUCCUAGAAGGAACAAGAGACAAAGGAUUGCAAAAUCCUUUGGUGAUGAUUUCAUUGUAUACCUUGUGGACGACACACCCAAGACGAUUGCAGAAGCAUAUGCAUCUCCGGAUGUAGAUGAUUGGAAAGAAGCUGUUCAUAAUGAGAUGGACUCAAUUCUUUCUAAUGGAACUUGGGAACUAACUGAUAGACCAUAUGGUUGUAAACCUGUGGGCUGUAAGUGGGUGUUCAAAAAGAAGCUGAAGCCUGAUGGUACUAUUGAUAAGUACAAGGCGCGGCUAGUGGCCAAGGGCUACACUCAGAAAGAAGGCGAAGAUUAUUUUGACACCUAUUCACCCGUUGCUAGAAUGACCACCAUUCGAGUGUUACUUUCCUUGGCUGCCUCUUAUGGUCUUAUCAUUCAUCAAAUGGAUGUAAAGACAGCUUUUCUCAAUGGAGAGUUGGAAGAGGAGAUCUAUAUGGAUCAGCCUGACGGGUUUGUGGUAAAGGGUGAAGAGAGAAAGGUGUGCAAGUUGUUAAAAUCUUUGUAUGGUCUGAAACAGGCACCUAAGCAAUGGCAUGAGAAGUUUGAAAGAACUCUGACUUCUGCAGGAUUUGUCAUUAACGAGGCUGAUAGGUGUGUUUACUAUCGCCAUGGUGGGGGCAAUAGUGUCAUAUUAUCUUUGUAUGUGGACGACAUACUGAUCUUUGGUACAAACAUUAAUGCAAUUAAUGAGGUCAAGUCUUUUCUAUCAAAAAGUUUUGACAUGAAAGAUCUGGGAGAAGCCGAUGUAAUUCUAAAUCAAACUUAUUAA
This 1527-nucleotide ribosomal RNA is filed under the name Triticum aestivum (bread wheat). RNAcentral's name for it is "partial small subunit ribosomal RNA". The record is from RNAcentral. Lineage: Eukaryota; Viridiplantae; Streptophyta; Magnoliopsida; Poales; Poaceae.